GGUUCGACUCGAGCGAAGCGAGAGAACGUUGCGCCAGCAACGGCCCGCAGGGCGAGCCACGAAGUGGCGAGUAAUCCUCUAUCACCGACCA
RNAcentral lists this small RNA (91 nucleotides) under Escherichia coli. RNAcentral's name for it is "partial RtT sRNA". It matches the Rfam family "RtT RNA", at positions 40 to 130 of the family's 130-position model. Rfam says of the family: This family represents a bacterial cis-regulatory element known as RtT RNA. The exact function of RtT is unknown although it is thought that it may be involved in changing the cellular response in relation to amino acid starvation. RNAcentral also lists the same sequence under 1 other name. Lineage: Bacteria; Pseudomonadati; Pseudomonadota; Gammaproteobacteria; Enterobacterales; Enterobacteriaceae. The record is from RNAcentral.